Molecule: ribosomal RNA, 273 nt
Filed under: uncultured bacterium
Lineage: Bacteria
Description: partial 16S ribosomal RNA
Rfam family: Bacterial small subunit ribosomal RNA
Source: RNAcentral
GACGAACGCUGGCGGCGUGCUUAACACAUGCAAGUCGAGCGGUAAGGCCCUUUCGGGGGUACACGAGCGGCGAACGGGUGAGUAACACGUGGGUGACCUGCCCUCAGCUCUGGGAUAAGCCUGGGAAACCGGGGUCUAUACUGGAUAUGACUCCAUGACGCAUGUUGUGGGGGUGGAAAGCCUUGUGCGGCUGAGGAUGGGCCCGCGGCCUAUCAGCUUGUUGGUGGGGUGAUGGCCUACCAAGGCGACGACGGGUAGCCGGCCUGAGAGGGC